UUGCACCAUCUGUCAUACGUAGUUAUCAUGUUACAACGUAACGUAAGUCACACAUCAUAGAAUCCAACGGAUGUUGAACUUGUUUGACCUUUACUUUGGAGACCAAACAUUCAACACAAUCAAAAUUGUUCCAUUUGUAAAU
This is a long non-coding RNA of Thalassophryne amazonica, 142 nucleotides long. RefSeq lists it as uncharacterized. The transcript has 4 exons. NCBI's taxonomy places the organism in Eukaryota, Metazoa, Chordata, Actinopteri, Batrachoidiformes, Batrachoididae. The record is from RefSeq and is a predicted model, not a curated record.